UACUGUACGAGUGAACACUAAAAGUGUACAUUUGAAAACAAAUGAGGACGGUGGGGGGGGGGGGCAUUACAAAGUGUACAUAAUGAGUAAUGAAAAGCAAUAUGACUGUAUUGCCAUCCAGACUAGAGACAACAUUCAGGUAUUCAUUGGUCCAAGGAACACAGAACCAAAGAACACAGAACCAAGGAACACAGAACCAAGGAACACAGAA
Molecule: long non-coding RNA, 211 nt
Organism: Biomphalaria glabrata
Lineage: Eukaryota; Metazoa; Mollusca; Gastropoda; Planorbidae
Exons: 2
Source: RefSeq, a predicted model, not a curated record